RNAcentral lists this ribosomal RNA (306 nucleotides) under uncultured Persicirhabdus sp. Its description in RNAcentral is "bacterial SSU rRNA". It matches the Rfam family "Bacterial small subunit ribosomal RNA", at positions 29 to 334 of the family's 1533-position model. Lineage: Bacteria; Pseudomonadati; Verrucomicrobiota; Verrucomicrobiia; Verrucomicrobiales; Verrucomicrobiaceae. The record is from RNAcentral.
AAUGAACGCUGGCGGCGUGGAUAAGACAUGCAAGUCGAACGGGGACACUGAUUAGUUUACUAAGAUGUGUCCCAGUGGCGGACGGGUUAGUAACACGUGAGCAACCUGCCCCGAAGCGGGGGAUAGCCUUCCGAAAGGAAGAUUAAUACCGCAUGUGGUCUCCGGACCAAAGAUGGCUUCGGCUAUCGCUUCGGGGAUGGGCUCGCGGCCUAUCAGCUUGUUGGUGAGGUAACGGCUCACCAAGGCUACGACGGGUAGCUGUUCUGAGAGGAAGAUCAGCAACACUGGAACUGAGACACGGUCCAG